This 14440-nucleotide long non-coding RNA is filed under the name Triticum aestivum (bread wheat). Its description in RNAcentral is "long non-coding RNA (TAES_LNC000609)". Lineage: Eukaryota; Viridiplantae; Streptophyta; Magnoliopsida; Poales; Poaceae. The record is from RNAcentral.
UUAGGUGGUGCGCCAUUGGUAACCUGGGAGCAGCUAGAUAUUUUUGACAGCCACCUACCACACUCACUUUCCCCACUUCAUUCUCUCCACCUCUACCAAGCUUGGUCUCGGCUGCCUCCUCCUCCUCAUCUCAUUUGCACCAUAGAUUCACCCAAAUUAAGUGGUUAAAUUUCCUUUUUUUUAUAGGUAAGUAAGGGGAAAGCUUUGUUUAUGUUCUAGAUAUACUUUUUUCUCCCUCCAACAACGUACACACUUUUUAUGGCCUAGAUCUACGUAUGUUUGUGGUGUUGCAUAUGUUUGUGUUUGCAGGUACCGGUAUUUGAAAUGCGAUAGUUACCAAUAUUUUUCCGGAAUAUUGAUUCAUUUCCGUUUCCGCGAGAAUUUGGCACUAUACAUUCUUUUUGGUCCUAUUUUUAGGCAAAGUCAUGCCAAAUUUUAUUUUGGUUCUAAAAUAUCAUUUUGCUCUACCCCGCAGGCGACCAUGGUCCGCACGAUGACCGAAGGCAUCGUGAAUAGGUCUUUGAGCUCCACGAAGGCCGAGAUGCUUCAAAAGAACGAGACGGAGAUAAGAUGUCUGUGUCGAAGAUGCAAGCUGAAGAGCCUUAUGACCCGGAUUCCGGACAGGUGUGGGACCACCUGCUCUUGCGUGGUUUCAUGGAUGCUAUCGGUGGCAAGGUGAUGAAGAUGAUUAUGAAGUCGUCCAUGGGGGCCGGGCAAGAAAUAAGGAAGGGCAGCAAGACAACCGCGGCGAGGGCGGGCGAGAAGACGAAGAAUCUCCAGGACAUGAUCACGAAGUAGAUGCAGGACACAGUCAUCAUGUAGAAGAUGCCGGACAUGAUGAUGAGGAAGAUCAAGACGAAGGGCAUGAUCAUGAAGAUGAAGAUGCCGGAGCAGAUGAUGAUGGACCAUCGAUGGGCUGGGUGCAGGACCCUCAUAUUCAAGAGCUGCUUCUCAAGCAGACGGGUAACGCAAGAGCUGCCGCCCGAGAGAAAGCCAAGCUGGAUCAACUGGAGAUAGACGCGGUUACUCCAUUGUAUGAAGGAUGCAGGCCCGAGGAUACCCGCCUGAAAGUAACGCUCAUGGCUCUGGAGAUGAAGGUAAAACACAAAAUGACUGACGCAUGCUUCGACGAGAACAUGUCAUUCUGGCACGAACGUCUUCCCAAGGGGAACAAGUGCCCGACCAAUUUCGAGGAGGCGAAGAAAAUCAUGUGUCCUCUGGAUUUACCGCACGUGAAAUACCAUGUGUGCAUGAACAAUUGCAUCAUUUAUCGGGACAAGCACGCGGAGUCUACCAUAUGUCCGGUGUGCGGCGUCAAUCGAUACAAGAAGAGGAAGAAAGCUCCUCGAAAAGUGGUGUGGUACUUUCCGAUCACUCCUCGUCUGCAGCGGUAUUUCACGGACCCUAAGCUAGCAAAGCUCCUGCGUUGGCACGCGGAUAGGGAGGAGAAGAAGCGAGAAGAUGACGGAAAUGGUCUGGAGAUAAAUAAAAAAGACAAGAUGCUGAGUCACCCUAAGGAUGCGAGCCAGUGGCAAGCGUGGAACUUCGAACACCCAGAAUUUGGGGACGAUCCAAGGAACAUCGUGCUGGGCGCGAGCACCGAUGGAGUCAAUUCGUUUGGCAGCCAGAGAAGCACACAUAGCACCUGGCAUGUGUUUGUGUGGAUGUACAACCUUCCCCCUGGUUGUGCAUGAAGAGGAAGUACAUUCACAUGAGUAUGCUAAUUGAAGGGCCGAAACAACCAGGGAACGACAUCAAUCUGUAUCUGGGGCUGCUGAAAGAGGAGCUAGACACGCUAUGGUAAACGCCAGCCAAUACGUGGGAUGCCGCAGAGAAAGAAUAUUUCCCUAUGAGAGCCGCACUGCUCACGAUGGUGCACGACUAUCUCGGUUACAGAUAUGUAGCGGGGCAGGUGGUCCACGGAUUUUCUCCAUGCGUCAGGUGCAUGGAUGACACAACGUAUCGCCAGCUAGAUAGAGAUACCGGGUCUUCGAAAACCGUGUUCAUGGGACAUCGAAGGUGGCUUCGCGACGAUGACUCAUGGAGAAAACGCAAGGAUCUGUUCGAUGGUGAAACCGAACCCCGAAGACGCCCGCGUACGAGGAGAGACGAGGAAAUAGACGAGCUGUUGAAAAAUUAGAAAGAGUGCCCACCGCCGGGAAAGAAGCGAAAGGCGCCAGAGCCGGGAAAGAAGCGAAAGGCGCCAGAGCCGCUGCUGAAGGUAUGGAAAACAAGGUCUGUUUUCUGGGACUUGCCGUACUGGAAGAUCCUCCGUGUGCCUCACAGCCUUGAUGUCAUGCAUAUCAUGAAGAACGUGUGCGAGAGUCUGCUUGGUACCCUGCUCAACAUGCCAGAGAGGACCAAAGAUGGGCCGAAAGCAAGGGCAGACUUGAAAUCAAUGGGCAUCAGGGAGGAGCUUCACGCUAAUGAUGAUGAUGAUGAGGCGAGGACACGGAAAGUCGUCGCAAAGGCAAAAAGGCCAAGAAGAUCGGAAAUGACUGCCCUCCCGCGUGCUUCACUCUAAGUCAGGAGGAGAUCGAGCAGUUUUUCACCUGCCUCGUAGGAGUAAAACUUCCUUACGGUUACGCAGGGAAGAUAAGCAGAUACCUAGACUCAGCGAAGCAGAAGUUCAGUGGGAUGAAGUCUCACGACUAUCACGUGCUGAUGACGCAGAUACUUCCAGUUGCAAUCCGUGGGAUCAUGGACGCGCACUUCUGUGAAACGCUAUUUGGCCUAUGCAACUUUUUGGACGUCAUCUCUCGGAAGUCGGUUGGCGUGAGGCAACUCAGAAGGCCACAGGAAGAGAUCGUGGUGAUACUAUGCGAGCUUGAGAUGUACUUCCCGCCCGCAUUCUUCGACGUUAUGGUGCAUCUGCUGGUCCAUAUCGUGGAGGAUAUCAUCCAACUCGAGCCGACGUUCCUGCACAGCAUGAUGCCGUUUGAAAGGAUGAAUGGUGUCAUCAAAGGAUAUGUUCGCAACAUGUCACGUCCAGAGGGAAGCAUAGCCAAGGGCUUUCUGACCGAAUAGUGCAUCUCCUACUGCACGAAUUAUCUAGGCAUCGAGAACCCCGUUGGUCUGCCCGUCAACAGGCACCUCGGCAGGCUCGCUGGAUGGGGUCGCCGCGAGGGUCGCCGCGAAAUGCAUGUCGAUUUCAAGGUCGACUCGCCGACUUUGAAAGAGCAAGCCUAGUCACGCUACAACACAUAGACGUGGUCGAUCCUUGGGUGGUAGAGCACAAAACCUUUAUUGAGAAGAUGUACAAUGACAAAGGCCAACAGAGGACGGACGGAGAUAUAAUCAAAGAGCACAACUCAUGUUUCACGCGUUGGUUCAAGGAGAAGCUUCUGUCGUACCCUUUACAUGAGGAUUCUUCCGCGGAAGAAAAACUCAUAUUCGCCUUGUCACAGGGCGCCGAGCACAACCUGAUGACCUAUGAGGCGUACGAUAUCAAUGGCUACACAUUCUACACCGAGGAAAAGGACAUGAAGAGCGAUGAUUAUCAGAACUCCAGGGUAACGAUGGAAUCCUACACCGGUAACGACAAGGACAGAUACUACGGAAGGAUCGAGGAGAUCUGGGAGCUGAGCUACGCCGGAGAGAAGGUCCCGAUGUUCCGUGUCAGAUGGGCCAAGAGCGUCCUAAAAGAAGACCGUUAUUUCACCACCAUUGUUAUACCCGAAGCCAAAUCCAAGACCGCGGGCACAAACGUCACCGCGAAAAAUGAGCCAUGGGUACUGGCUUCCCAAGUGGACCAAUACUUCUUCAUUACCGACCCGUCAAAGCCCAGUCGUGUUGUCGUGAGGAGAGGCAAAAGGAAGAUCAUCGGAAUGGAUGGAGUCACCAAUGAGCAAGACUUCGACAAGUACGGCGACCCAAAGAUGGAACAUGACAACGACGAUGAAGUAUCAUACACCACAAGAAGAAGCAGGACCAUCCUACCUAAAGGACGUCCGUUCAAGAGAAGAACUCCAUUUGCGAAAAAGAAGGACAAGAAGAUUGUGAAAAGAUAGCUAAGAUCGAUUGUAUUUAAAUUGUAGUCUUCAUUUCUCGAUUGUAUUUCGACAUAUGGAAAUGACAUUUCUUCUGUUCUAGUCCUCUAUCCAGUAACCUGUUUGUUCAAAACAGUGGGGAUUAAUGUUGUCUGUACUUACCUUCCUUUAAUAUUUUGUAACUUCUCCAUCACCAACUUGAGGUAUCGACCACUUUCUUCUUGGAUUUGGAAUUUUUGUUCUUCUCCCUCUUGUUUUGUUGCAAAUCAUCAUUUACAGGCACCUUGGGCUUCUUUGUGUUUUCUUCUGGUAUUUUAAUUGUUUUUAUUUAUGUUUAUUCUGGUAAAAAAAGUUACUAAUGGCGCACCAGGAGAAGGUGCGCCAUUGCUAUCAAGGUACUUAUGGCGCACCCCUAGGAGGUGCGCCAUUGAUAUACCAUUUUUUAUUUAUGUUUAUUCUGGUAUUGAAUUUCUAACUCACAAAAAGUAUUGAAUUUGUUAAUAUUUUUUGAACUCAUGAAUAUUUUUAAAUUUCAUGGGCACUUUUUGAAUUCAUGAAUAUUUUUUCAAAUUUGAUGAUAUUUUUUCAUAUUCAUAAAUGUUUUACCAAUUCACAAAUGAAUGCAGCUAAAAAUCCAAAAAAAGAUAGUAAUGGCGCACCAGGAGAAGGUGCGUCAUUGCUAUCACGGUGUUUAUGGCGCACCCCUAGAAGGUGUGCCAUUGGUAUACGUAUUUUUAUGGCGCACCGCUAAAAGGUGCGCCAUUGCUAACCCUCCCCCCACUCCCACUUACUCCCCUCUCCCUCUGGCCUCUCUCCCUCCCUCGCCAGAUCCACCUCGCCCCACCUAACCCGACAACCCCCGCGGGAGCACGCCGCCGUCCGCCCGCGCCCGCUCCUGGCUCCCAAAUCCCCAAAUCCCCUCAAACCCUAGCCCCCCUGCCCACCCCACGAACCCUAGCCGCCCUUGCCCUCGAGCGUGAGCCGCAGCCAAUCCAGCCACCGGCGGGCCGGCGCGAGCAGCGGCCGGUCCAGCCACCGGCGGGGCGGUGCGAGCUGCAGCAGGUCCAACCACCGGCGGCGCGGCGCGAGCAGCGGCCGGUCCUACCACCGGUGGGGUGGCGCGACCUUGACCUCUCCAGGUACAGGGCCUCCCCACCGGCGGGGCUCCUGUGCUUCUCCACUCCGACGGUGCUUCCCCGCUCCGGCUCGCCCAACCCAGCAGCACACUCCACCACCACAUCUCUCUCUCUCUCUCUCUCUCUCUGCACCACCACACUCCACCGUUUCUCACUGUAUUUCUUAUGUUGUGGUGAAGGUUGCAGAGGUGGAAGGGAAGCACAGGACAAGCUGCUCACCGUUCGACCAUACACUCAGGACAAGGUGCUCACGGAGGUGCCCAAGUACAAGCAGACCAUCUUCUCCGUCCUCCCCUAGGUAACUUUAUCUUCAUCCCACAUCCAAGUAGGUGUUCCGUUUGAACUAAAUCCGAUUCAGUUUCUGGACAACUAAGUCUGUUUUUACUGAAGAAAAGUGGCGUUGCGGGAGUCUAGAUAGCUCUGCAAUAGUAGACUCAUGACGUGACCACGCAGCUCUAGUUCUGCCAGUCCCCAUUGAAAAUUCCGAAUCUUCAUUAGUUCUGCACUGGCUCUUAAUUUAAAUAUUUAAUCCUAUUGCUACACUUAAUUGAUGUACUACAUACACAUUAGUGUUGCCACAGUAAAGAAGAUGAGCAUGAGUAGAGGGACAUGGGGCUGUAGUGGCUGAAUUUCUGAGACACGGCCAGGGUUAUGGGGAGAGGAAGAGGUGGUGUCUGUAAAUGGUUUGUGUGAUCCUGGUUUGUGAGGGGCAGAUCAGAUCCCUGCUUUUGUUUGUUAGUGCUUGUUUAGUCUCCUGGGCUGUUUUGCCCUUUGUAUAUAUUGUGUUGGAUGGAGUGAAAGGGAGACAUGGUUGUGUUUUUUAUGUUUGAUGAGAAAAGAGAAUAUGAGUCUGGUGUAAGCCAUGGAUGAUGAUAUGAUAUUAGGGAAGAAAGAUCUUGUGCAGAUACACUCUGAUGCAUGGCACUGUCUCCUAGUUAAAUUUAGCAGCAUCUGGUUGUUGAGCCCAUAUUAUUUGUAAUAUUUAAUUGUUGCUAACGUUGGGUUAGUUCCCCCAUAGAGGAGGAGCUUUGGGUAGGGUACUGGUGCUAUACAAAGGUAUGCAUGAGUAGUAUAUGCUGGUGGUGUGGAUUAGUAAGUAGAUGAGAUCUUGUUUGUGACUAGCAGCCAUAGUUUAGUAGUAGUGGUUAGGCUGGUGUGGUGGGAUAGGAGUAGCCAUGUUGAAUUGUUGGGCAUUGGUCAGAGUGCCAACCAGUGGAAAAAAGGAGCAGAGGGAGUCCAGCCCCAUUUUCUCUUGAUUAAUUAUGGCAUUGUGUGUCAUAAUUUAAAAUUGCCCUGUUUAUUAGAAGUGUUAACCAUCACUUCUGGGUUGUAACCUUAGCUGUGUUUCAAUGCUUAAAGACUAUUAGCUGCAUAGUACUUUCCCUGUGCUGAUUGUUGUUUUUCCAUGCAUAGUUUAACAUUCUGUAAUUUCCAGGGAUCAAUUAGACCAUAUUGUUGUUCUUCAGCAUUUCACCUUUUUUGAUUCUAGCUGAAUCCAUCAAGUCUUAUGAAAAUACUCUGUGAACUGUGGGGUUGCUAUCAUUACCCAAUUUUGAUUAAUCGGCAUGUAUCUUGAUUGCCUGGCAUGAGCUAGAUGAAAUGAUCCGUUUCUCCUGAUGUGAAAUGACCCCUUUCUCCUGAAAUGUUGAUUAAUUUCCGUUUCGUUUGAGAAUGGGGCACUCCUAGGUCAAGAAAAUUAGCAAAGGUCAUGCCCAAUUUUCUUGACCUAGAAGGUGCCCGAUUCUCAACCGAAACAAAAAUUAAUCAGCAUGUAUCUUGACAUCAACCAACUUUCUGGACACAUCCCUCGACAACUAGGUUAUCUUGAGAACUUAGAGGAGUUGUGGCUUUGCUACAACACACUAACAGGUUCCAUCCCAAACUGCCUAGGAAAUUUGACCAAACUCACAACCUUGGAUCUUGAGAGCAACCAACUUUCUGGACACAUCCCUCGAGAACUAGGUUAUCUUGAGAACUUAGAGAAGUUGUUUGUUUGCUACAACACACUAACAGGUUCCAUCCCAAACAGCAUAGGCAAUUUGACCAAACUCACAGCCUUGUAUCUUUGCAGCAACCAACUUUCUGGACACAUCCCUCAAGAACUAGGUUACCUUGAGAACGUGGACUUGGACCUUAGCAACAACACACUAACAGGUUCCAUCCCAAAACACCUAGGCAAUAUCACAAACAUCUCUCAAUUGUUCCUUGACAAUAACUAACUUUUUGGCGACAUUCCUCGAGAAUUAGGUUAUUUGGUCAACUUAGAGAUCUUGUUCCUUGACAAUAACCAACUUUUUGGCCACAUUCCCCAAGAAUUAGGUUAUUUGGUCAACUUAUUGUCCUUAUCUCUUAGAAAUAAUUCACUGACAGGUCCCAUCCCAAAUAGCCUUGGAAAUUUGACCAAACUCACAACCUUGGAUCUUGAGAGCAACCAACUUUCUGGACACAUCCCUCGAGAACUAGUUGAUGUCAAGAUACAAGAUUCUGAGUUUGGUCAAAUUUCCUAUGCUGUUUGGGAUGGAACCAGUUGGUUAAUGUCAUCUGCAACCUACUGUUGAUGGCCUUGUGUUCCUGCUCCUUUUGCUGCUUUGUUAAGUCUAUUCACCUUUUUUGAAGAAUAGAUGCUACCCUGAUCUCAUCCAAUAACUCUAGUAGCCUUUUUUUCCUAUUUAGAGCGAACAUGGCCAACAACGAUGAGGCCGACGGUUCGGGCAAGCAAUUCUGGGAGCUGUCCAAGGAAAUGGAGGAAGAACCUCACCACUAUGAGGACGCCGCGGAAGACACCCAUCCCGACUACACAACCCCUAGUGGCGUCGGGGAUGACACCACUGAUGGUGCCGCCGAGGAUGCCACCACUGAUGAUGGCAGCGCACGCACAGAUGGCAGCCAACCGAAGAGGCAACGGAAGGACCGGCGCCCGAACGUGCUCGGCACCGUCAAGGAGGAAUUUACUGAAGUGUCCUCCAGUGGGCAUCCAACGGCUCCCAAAGAAUUAGUCAGUGGGUACGCGGCACAACUCGGGUGCAUUCUCCGGAGCACCGUCUCGAUCAACACCGAGAACCUAAGGCAUCGUGACCGAGGGAAUUUGCGCAACCUCCUCUUCACGAAGCUGCACGAACGAUACAAGUUCCCCGAUGACUUCGCAAACACACGCCUCUCAGGGAAUAAAGUGAACAGUGCUGCCCUCACAAAGAUGAGCACGGCCCUGGCUACAUGGAGAGCCGCGGUGAAGAGAAGGAUUCUAAGAGGUGAUAGUUAUGAGAAGAUCAAGGAGAAAAAUCCUUCGAUUAGCGAAGCUGACUACCUGGAGUUCAAGAUCAAGUGCGAGAGCAACGCAUCUGCGGAAUCAAGUCAGUGGGGGAAAGAUAUGCGGGACUUGAACUUAGGGGUCCACAAACUUGGUCCCGACGGUUACAGAGUGGCGGAACCUAUAUGGGACAAGGAGGACGCGGAGCGUGCCGAACAAGGCCUACCGCCCCUCUUCGAUAAAUACCGUGACAAGCAGACCAGGAACUAUGUCAGGGCCCGGUACAAGGUGGACCCGGUAACAAAGGAGCUUACCACGGAUCCGAAGACCAAGGCGCUUGAGCUUGUUUUGAUAAGGAAUACACCCCCGCGUAAUUAGCUCCAUAUGGUUGCAUUCUAAUUAAUGAAGCCAAAUUUCUAAAUGGUUCACGUUCCUUCCGCAGGACACUGAAAGCAGUAGCGCAGGGUCGUCUCAGCUCCCCUUGGGAUACCACUUUAAAUAGGGCGUUGAACGUAAUGAAACACAAGGAUAAGUUCAGUAAGCCAUCGUCAGCUGGUCCUGUGGCCGGCAAAGGCUUGUCCAUGAAAUGGUCGGAAUACUAUAACACUGGGCGAAAGGAGAGAAAGCCCUGCUCGGAAAGCCAGGAGCGCGAGGUUCAAGAACUCAAGGCACAAGUGGCGCGGAUUCCGGAGAUAUUCGAAGAGCAAGUGCGAGACCAACUGGGAGCGACGAUCACCGCCAUUGUGCCUACCUUCAUUGAGGGGCUGCAGGCGUGGAUUGCGGGCGGCCAACAGGGGCCGCCCCCGAUUCCCAGCUUCACGGGCAGCAACUCGCACAACGCGCCGGCGCCAUUGGUGUCUCGGGCGGAGGCGGCAUUGGUGUCUCCGGCGUCGGCGCCGGCAUUGGAGCUUAAUGCACCCGGGUGUGGGAAGAAUACACCGGCCGGCACCUCGGCAGCAAGCGGCCCCUCCGUCACUUGCACGCCCGCUGUUGGCGGUGCCUCGACAUUAGCCGAGCUCGACGCCAUCACGGUAACUAAGCCUCUCGACCGAUGACUUCAUCUCCUUGCCUUUGACUCGGCAUCCCUGACGCCCUACAUGUUUUCACAGGGCACCGCCGACGUUCCAUGCACUCUCCUGCACUUCGUGGACGGCGAGUUGAUCGAUGUCGCCAAGGCCAGAAUCGUUCAACCGGGCAACCACGUGUUCCACUGUAAUCCGAUGCCACCCACCGUGUAUAGGGUUCAACUGGUUCGGGUGCUGCGGGGCUGCGUCGACCUGUUACCUCCGUAUCGACCCCCUGGGGCCGACGAAGAUGAUGUGAUGACCCUCAGCGCCUGCAUAAGCUGGUCCAUGCUUUGGCCGAAGAGCCAGAUUCGUUUGGGGCGGGGGACACCACCCCACAGACAACACCGCCAGUCGUGCCGACGCCAAGCCAUGGCAAGACCGCCGCAACGCUACCGCCGUCAGCUGAUCCGGACAUGCAUAUGGCACAGGAUCCGGACGACGACGACGGUACAUUUACCAACGUCGAUAAGUACUUCAACGAACAUGGGUACGAUGACGAAUUCUUGGGGCCUCCUUCUCAAGAACCCAACCCUGCAAAAGACGAUCGCGAUCUAGUUGGUACCGCGGAGAAACCCAAUUGCAACAGGCGUCGUCUGGCGUUCAGUUCUCAGGAGACGCCUCCAGCUGUCGCCUUCACCGAGCGUCAGAUAGCCGAGGUGCGAAAUAUUAUCAGCCCCAACACACUCAAGAAGGUGGUCUCUGAGCAGAACUCGAUCCCAUUACAGCAGAAGAAGCAGAAGGGACGAAAAAGAAAAAAUAACAAGGGUGGAGCCAGCCGGCUCCGAGUACGAUCCGUGCUCAGGACGGGCCACCUUCACCUAAGGAUAUCUCGAGAGGGUGCAUGUGGCGGGUAGGCUGAUGCUACCGACUAAUCUGCUCAAUGCUGCAACCGGUGCUAUGCGGAGUCUGCAUGACAGUGUUCUUUCUUUGGAGAAACGGCGUCUCUCCGAGAAUGAUGUGGCAUACCCGGUUUUCAUGGCCAAGGUGCCAUAGGGCAAGGGCUUUGUCGAUAGCACCAUCGGGGGUAUGAUCGUCCUGCGGUUUGAUGACGUCUUCGCUAUGUUUAACCUUCAUCCACUGCACUACACCUUCAUUCGGCUAUUUUCGCUCAGUAUGAAGAUGUGGAUCAUUAGAGACAAGACCCCGGACAUCGUGAUAGUCGACCCCUUCUACAUGUGUGCCAAGAUCUUGGGCAGCGCUGGGGACCGGCAAGUCGCGAGUUCAUACCUCGAAGGCGUCAUUCUGGCGAACCCAGAUAAGGAUAACUUCCUCGUGCCUUACUUUCCCGAGUAAGUCAUCCCCUCACCGCCCCGUAAUAUGAUUUCUUAGAUUUCGAUCGUUCUUUUUUUCCUAACAUUCCGUGUUUUGUGCGGUGACACACAUUGCACAUUUAUCCUCUUAAGCCCGAAAUAUUCCAUGGCCACGUAUUUCGACUCAGACCGUCAGUCGAAGAAAGACUACACAAAUAUCAAGAAAGUUCUUGAUGAUGCUCUCCCCGACUACGCCAAAUGUGGAGGCACCUUCAGGAGGCCAAUUUGUAGUUACGGCAAACACGUGUUCACCCACGUAACGACGUUCCCCUGCGUCAAGCAGCCGCCUGGCGGUCAGAAGGAUGCCUACUACGCCUCCAUCACAUGCGGGCGAUCGUACGGGACCAUAAUCACCUUCUGCUACCAACUAAUCUCAAAGAUUGGGCCGCACGCUUGUCGGCAAUCCAGGACGCGGACAUCAGACAAGAAUUCUUUCGCAUCCAGUCGGAGUUUGCGGAAAUCAUCCAUCAAGAUGUCCUUCGUACCUCGGGGCAGUUCUACCUCAAAUAUCAACCGUCCAACAGUGAAAUAGAAACAACGCUACAAAUGCAGGCUGACAACGAUCGCGAUUUUAUGACCAUCACGAAAGACGGCGGCUUCAUCCACGCUCCAGUCCCUGAGUCGAGUCGAAAGUAAUGAUGCUAUGUAGUUCUGAAAUAUCGAUUAGCUCAUGUUGUAAUUAAACUUUAAUGAACUUGUAUGUCUCUUUAGUUUGGACAGUCGUUCAACUUAUAUGUAAUCGAUGCUAUUUAUUAAUAGGAUCAUGAAUCGUGCUAUUAAUGUGUUGCUUUUCUCUUCCGAUCCUUUUGUUGCAUACUUAUAUAUUGUCUGUGAAUUGCUACUAACGUUUUGUUUGUCUAGUGCAUAGAGAUGCCGUCGUAUGUCGUGUACAAGGGUAAGGUUCCCGGAGUCUACGACGACUGGGAGGAGUGUCGGAGACAUGUUCACCGUUUCAGCGGUAACAGUUACAAAGGGUACACUACUAGGGCGGAGGCGAAAGCUAGAUACGCGCGCUAUCUAACGGGAGAGAGGAGGGAGCGGAGGAGGAACCGGAUGAAGACCAGUUUCAUCGCGAUGAUGCUCAUCGUGACCACAGCUCUCUUCUAUGUGAUGGUAGUUUAGAUGAUCGAUAUCGACUUUGUAAUGUGACGACAAACUCCGCUAAUAUAUAUGAUGAACUUUGGUAAUGUCUCGAGACCUUAACUUGGCUAAUGUUUGAACUUUGUUUGCUAUUUCGAAUUUGGAGACUAAUAUGAUGAAUUCUAUUGUGUGAUGUUUAUAUUCUGUGCUGUGUGACGUGUAUUUUAUAACCUGUGCAAAUACCAGAUAUUUUGUAACCUGUGCAAAUACCAAAAAAGCAAAAAAAAAAAUUCCUAAUAUUCAUAGUAGUAGCGCACCAUAUUGAGCAUUAGUGGCGCACCAGGGCUAAAUACCACUGGCGCAUUAUAGGGCAUAGUAAUGGCGCACUUGGGUGCAUACGUGAAGGUAAAUAUGCCCCCCUAGGAGACAUAGUAAUGGCGCACUGUUAAACAUAGUAAUGGCGCACUACCAGAUGCGCCACUAUUAUCUAGGAUACUAAUGGAGGUGCGCCAUUAUUAUUUGUUACUAGUGGCAUGUUAAUAGUGGCGCACCUAUAGUGCACCAUUAAUAGCAAAAACAGGUGCGCCACUAAACAGCUUUUUUCUAGUAGUGCCAGGGUCGCGCAAGUGCUAGACAUGCCAUCACAAGCACCAUUACGGCUCCUGAUCCAGAUCCCCUCCUUCACCGUAUGAUGCCACUUGAAAAUAGACCAUUUUACUGGGUGGGAAAAAGCAUGGCUCAUAGGCACUGUGGAGGCUCCAUCCUUUGCACAAAGGUGUAGAAAAGGCAACUCAUCUCCAAACAAAAUAACUUGAAAUAAUUCUUUCUUUGAAACUGCUUAAUUUAAAUGCAUGCAGCUCUUUAUUUGUUUAGGAUGUAUGCAAGAAUUUCUAGUAAGUUCUACAUGGAAAGAACUGAACACAACUCGACAGCAAGACAAUCUCAUGUUUAAGUUGAAAUUGAAACUGUAUGCUCAAUAUUUAUGAAAUUGGACGCUCAAUAUGUGUCUAACCAUAUCUAUCACGGGCCUUUGUCACAGAAACAGGGUAAGUAAUCGAGUAGCAAUACCACAUCACCAUGGGUAAGCAGUCCUAUUUAUUUUCAUAAUAAAUACACCAUCACCAAGGAACAUACUCAGUUUUGAAGCAAUGUGUAUAUCCUAUUAUAAUGUUUGGCAACUGAUCAUAAACACUAAGGAGCAAAGCAAGUGUGCACGAGUCCUUUUUAGUAUACAGAACAUCAUCCUACCAUUAGAAGCAAGAAAAAAAAUCACCUGCCACCUGAGCUCUGAUUUUCACAUGGCUAAAACAUUUUGCAAUUCAUAUAUAAACCCAAAACAAUAUAAUGAUACAUUUAUAAAACUCUCUGCCGUUCAUGUAUAAACCAAAAUCAAUAUAGUGAUGCAUUCCUAAAACCCGUUGCAAUUGAUGUAUAAACCUUUUAGGAGUAUUGUAGAUUUUUCCUAAACACGUAUCUAGCAAGAAAGCAGACGGGCGCACAGCGUCCUGCCGACGCUGCCGGACCAAGGACCCAUGUGUCCCCCGCCCCCAUAAACCAGGCCAUGCACCACAGGUCCUGCACCGCGCCAGAUCUGGCCGGGCAAACGCCUGCCGGCCACCACCAAAGCAGGGAAGACCCCGCAGCCGCCACAAAUCACCGGGCCACAGGGGGAGAGCGGUGAAGUGUGAACCUGGAACCCCGACGGAGUCGAGAUGAAGGCGGCAAAGCUCCGACAAUGGCCAUCACAUGAUAAAUAAAGGGAAAAAACCCAAAUUAGCGGAUCUUCUACGCAUAUCCACUGCUAUAGAUUCAAAUAACACUAAUCGGAAAGCAAGGAUGUAGCUUUACAGGACCAACCAGUAGCUAAGAAAUCAGGGGCUAAACAAUUAUCUUGUCUAAGAGCUAGUACAUACUACAGAAUGAAUACUGCAACAAGAAUUAAUAGAACACUUGACCAGUCCAACCAAAUUAAUAGGUUAUAAUACUACACCAUGUCUUGACCAGCUCCAAACUAAAUUCUAUUUGGAUUUUGUGUAAACGAAGCCUAGUUAUACUACUACAAUAACCUAGAACCACUAAAGCACCCACAAACAUUCACAGUAUCCUCAUCUUGAUGAAAGCAAAAAUGUAUCAUAUAGCACGCACGCACACAAAUACUCACAGUAUCCUCAUCUUGAUGAAAGCGAAAAUGUAUAAUAUAGCACGCGCGCACACAAACAGUCACAUUAUCCUCAUCUUGCUGAAAGCAAAAAAUGUAAAUACAUACCUUGACCUGGAACAGUAUGGUCCAGUUUCAGUUGACAGUCUUGAUGAUUCAUGUUGGCCUUUAGAUAUGUUUUUGAACAACAAUUUUUCUUGCUGCUUGUAGAAGACAACAUCCUUCACAUAACCACCAUCUAAGCACUCCGCCAAUGGAAGGCCAUCAGUGAUACAGGCUAUCAUUGUCAGCUUCACCAUUUCAAAAAGAUAACAAGACACAAGCAAAAGUGCCACCUGCACAAAAAAGCAGAGGAGAGCUAGUAAAUACUUGUAACACUAGUGCACUUUGAGCUUGGAUGCGUCGCGACAGCCAAGCCUUGCCGCAUACCAUCAUUUACAUGACUAAGCAAAC